Anolis carolinensis (green anole) is the source of this 3678-nucleotide long non-coding RNA. The record is from Ensembl. Lineage: Eukaryota; Metazoa; Chordata; Lepidosauria; Squamata; Anolidae.
AUGUCUAUGCAAUUUCAAGAUGAUACAGAUGGUAUACCUCCUUCUGAGGCUGAAAGUAGGAAUGAAAGGCCCCAAAGGAUAAAGCACCCUUCAGCCAAAAUGCUAGCCCAUCUAAUAGACGAAAAGGAGCUCCUCCAUGUGAGGUUAGGUUCGGCAUGGGAGCGAAUUGUAACAUUGAUGGUCAGAAUUGAGAGCUUGGGUAUUACAAGGGUGCCAUCCAUAUUACAGACAGACCUUGAAGAGACCUUCGGUCUCUGGAGGGGUUUGGUGUCUAAGAUAGUCCAGGUCCUCGAGCGCAUUAACGCCAAGGAUUCAGAGUUAGAAAUAGUGAGUGUCUUAGCUGACACUAAUGAGAAAGAAAAUAAGGUGAGGGCAAUUCUAGAUGCCUUGGAAUUUAGUUCUCCACCUGUUAAUCUAAGGUCUGAGCCAAAAGGAAAUCAGUCUUCCUUAUGCAGCCAUGAGACCAAUCUUUUAAAAUCACCUGCUGUGGCACUUAGUCUUAAGUCCAACCGCUCUAGCCAGGUAUCUAAAUUAAGGGAGCGUGCAUCGUCUAAACACAGCCACUCUAGCAAGUCUUCUGCUGCUGGGAGUGCCAUCUCUUCCCUAGCUGCCUUGCACAUUAAGGAGGCUGCACGUCUAGAGCUAAAGAGCAAGGUAGCGGGGGCGGAGGCUGAUGCUAAGGCAGCUGAUCUCACCCUUCCCUUUAAAGAAGAAGAGCAACGACUGCAAAUAGAACAGGCCCGUAGACAAAGCGAAAUGCAAAUAGAACAGGCUCGUAUAGAGAUGCUUAGAAUAAAGAUGGAUGCCGCAGCCAAAAGGGUAAGAGCUGAGACUUUGGCCAAGGCCCUAAUUGAGCCACUCACAGAAGAAAAUGUAAGCCAGUUACCAAUACAGGAUCCUUCUGCCAAAGUGUUUGCGCACCUUGGCAGCAUGAACAGCCAGUUUUCGGAUGAGGAACAGGAAGACUUCUCUCCUUACCCAGAGCAGUGCCCCAAAGUCACGUUUGAGUUUCCUGCAGAGCAGAGCGUCAUAGCGGGGAGCUCACCCUUGCUCGAGCUACCUGUGCCUCCUGCUAAAACCCUAGGUCAGUCAAUCAGGGCCUCAAGGCCGAGCGCUAGUUGGCCCCUACAGACAGCUGCACAGGGAACCAUCGAUUCGUCAGUGGUCGAUGUCAUCCCUCCAAGAGGCCAAAGGUUGACGCAAGGUACACGGUGGGAGUCCACUCCACAACAGCAAACUCCUCAAUUGUUCCCUUCGACGCCAGAGUCCCAGCUUGUCUCCAUCAUCAGAAGCCCCAGAAGAGAUCUUAAGGACAAGGGUGUCGAAAAGUUUUCGGACAAGCCUGAGGAAUUUCUUCUCUGGAAGGCCACCUUCCAGAGAGCAAUCAGAGACUUAAAGUUAUUGCCUGAGGAAGAACUGACUCUUCUGGCUGCAUGGUUGGGCCCAGCCUCAUCCUCACAAGUUAAGAAGAUCUACGCAGCCCACGUAGCCGAUCCCGACAAAGCCCUGGAAAAGGCCUGGGCCAGGUUGCAGCAGAGGUAUGGGGCCAGCACAGAGAUUGAAGCAUCUCUUAUGGACAAGCUCCAAAGGUUCCCAGCUUUAAAACUCAAAGACUUCAAACUCUUGUGGGACCUUAGCGAUCUCCUUGCGGAAUUAGAGUCGGCCAAGGAGAAUCCAGAACUGCCCGGUUUGAAGUGCCUCGAUCAGCACCUGUCCCAGAGGCAGAUCUUGACCAAGCUGCCCUUCACUUUGCAAGAACGCUGGGGACAGGAGGUCUUCAACUACAAGGAGGCCCACUCCCAGGCAUACCCUCCAUUUUCUCAUUUGGUCCAGUUCAUCACCAGGGCAGCCAGAGAAAGGAAUGAUCCACAGACGGGCCUCCCCACCUUAUACCAAGGGACCCAGCCAGAGAAGGCACCUAAAGUGGACAAGAAACCAUCUAGAGAGGCCAAUAGACCUGUCAGCGUAAAGGCAGUCGAAACUCAACACAAGACUGAUGAACCCAGGUCGGAGGUAAAAGAGUUGCUUUGCCCUAUUCACCAAAAGCCUCACAGCUUGGCCAACUGCAGGGAGUUUAGUAGAAAGACAUACAAAGAAAGGCAACAGCUAGUUCAAAAGCAGGGAAUCUGCUUUAGAUGCUGUGGAGCAACUCCACACUUUGCAUCCAACUGCAAAGAGGACGUCAAAUGCGCAAGGUGUAACAGCCUUAAGCAUUGCACCGCAAUGCACAACUCCAAUAUCAUCUCCCACCCCAAAGAGAACGCUUCACCAAAAGAAAAGUCAGCAGUCGAAGACACCGACAAGCCAGCCGUACCAGAGAUGCAGGUGGAGGUUUCAGCAGUCGCCUGCACAGAACUAUGCUCUGACUCGCACCAGUUCAGAGUCUGUCAUCCUAUCUGCCUAGCGGAUGUAUAUCCAUCCAAGAGCCCUUGGCUUAGAAAGAGACUCUAUGUGGCCCUGGAUUCACAGAGCGACGCCUCCCUGGCUACUCCAGAGUUCUUCCGCAUGUUUGACCUUAAAACCAAGAUGGUCGACUACACUAUGACUACGUGUGCAGGAAAAAAGAAGUUGCAGGGUCGCAUAGCAUCUGGCUUUGUUGUCUCCUCUUGCGACCAGAAGAGACAGUUCAAGUUGCCAGACCUGAUUGAGUGUUCCUCCAUCCCUCGGAACAAAAAACAAAUUGUAACUAGAGAAGUUGUGGAGGCUCAUCCACAUUUGCGACGGUUAAAGAAUGCUAUACCAGCCUUUCGGCCAGAUGUGGACAUUGCCCUUUUGCUUGGCUCGGACUGCCCGAGCUUGUUCUGUGUGAACGACCAAGUUAAAGGACCUCCAGGUGCACCUAUCGCACAACAAUUGCCAUUAGGCUGGACAGUCAUAGGCCCAGUGUGCAUAAACAAGAUGCACCCACCAUCGUCGUUGGACUCCAAUCAAGCACAGGUGCUUAAAGGUGGACGUCCUACACUUGUGCGCAGUUGCCUAAGUCACAUCUCAGUCUACUGCCAAGCAAUAACUCCAGAGUAUUCCUCCAUCUUCAAAGUCUCUGAGAGAGACGAAGCCAUAGCGCUCUCGAAAGAUGAGCAAAGGUUUUCGGACAUUAUGAAUGCUCAAGUCUCACGAAGUGCAGAGGUGAAAGCCUGCAAAUCAACCACAGAAAUCAAGACGGGCCAAAGAUCUUGCCUGGAACCACACCGUUUUGAACGUUUUUCGGAGUGGCACAGUCUUCUUAGAGCAGUUGCUAGGCUUAUACAUCGCUUAGUCUGCAAAGAUAGUCAGCCUUUACAGGUCCAGGAUAUGAUAAAGGCUAAGAGCGUCAUAUUCAAGUCAGUGCAGAGAUCUGCUUUCAAGCCGGAAAUAGCUAGGCUAGAGCAAGGGCUCAACAUCCCUAAUCAAAGUCUUCUAAAUGAGUUAAACCCAUUUCUAGACAAGGAGGGUAUUUUGAGAGUUGGAGGAAGGUUAGCCAAAGCUAAACUCAAGGCGUGCAUAAAAAACCCCAUCAUCAUACCCCCUAAUAGUCACACUGCAUUGCUGCUCGUUCGGCAUUACCAUGAGAAAAUCCAUCAUCAAGGUAGAACUCUGACUGAGGCGACCCUUAGAAAUGAAGGCCUGUGGGUGGUAAAUGCUAAAAGUUUGGUCAGCAGUGUGUCAAAUGUCGGCGACUCAGAGUCAGCUGAUGGCUGA